Non-coding RNA from Camellia sinensis, 907 nucleotides. Lineage: Eukaryota; Viridiplantae; Streptophyta; Magnoliopsida; Ericales; Theaceae. The record is from RefSeq and is a predicted model, not a curated record.
UAAGGGUCGUCCAUAUGACAGCUUUCGUCUUUUCCCAGUAUAUUUUUUAUAAGAAAAGACCACUUUUUUUUCCCCAAUAUAUGGAUUUUACAUUAUUGUUAAUUAGUGACUUGACUCAUGGUUUUGAAUUGAAAACGUUAAACUGCUGAUUAAUGACAUCUUGCUUAUGGUUAUCAACAGUUGGUUAUUUUCUGCUGGAUUUUAUAUUGCAUUCUUGUUAUUUUAUUUACUCGUGCUCUGUUAGCUUUCUUGCAUUCCUGUUGCUUUAUAAUGCAUUAUGCGUUCCUGCUAUGUUAAUUUUCUUGCAUUUUUUACAUGACAGCCUUGAUUUCUCAAUUAUUUUGAUUCCAAGUUCCACUUUCCUGCUAUUUCAUCUUUCUUCUUUAUUUCUUCAAAUACCAAAACAAAAAAUAUUUUUAGUAUUACUUCUUUAAAUAAUUAUGCACACAAAUGAGCACAUACUUCCGAUCAUCAUCUUUAGACUUUAGUUCUUUAAUCCACAUGCUCUUACAAAAAUUUUAUCCUGGCUCUCUUAAAUACUUUUUGUUUGCAUGAUGUGAAUGUUAUUUAUCACUGAAUAUUGCUUUUUUCAACUUAGUGGUUUUCCACAUUUAGUUGUUAUGAUUUAGGCGGCCGUUAUUUUCUGGGAGCAACAUCUGCUGUUUAUUUCCCUCAGGUUUGGUUUAUGAGACUGGAGAUACUUUUUUCAUGAUUAUUUUGGAUAAAUCACAUAAUCAAUAACAUGUACGGUGUUGCCAAAGGUGAUGUAUUAUUUCCCAUUUUUGAUAUAACAGGAGAUACAAAAAUUGUAUCCAAUCUACACCUCCCAGACCACCAUCAGCGUACUUUUAGGAGAUACAAAAAUUGUGUGCUUUCCCAACCUUCCACAACCCCCCCCCCCCAAAAA